RNAcentral lists this ribosomal RNA (580 nucleotides) under uncultured ciliate. Its description in RNAcentral is "bacterial SSU rRNA". It matches the Rfam family "Eukaryotic small subunit ribosomal RNA", at positions 512 to 1105 of the family's 1831-position model. The record is from RNAcentral. Lineage: Eukaryota; Ciliophora.
GAUUAGAAUUUAACGACCUUUACGAGGAACAAUUGGAGGGCAAGUCUGGUGCCAGCAGCCGCGGUAAUUCCAGCUCCAAUAGCGUAUAUUAAAGUUGUUGCAGUUAAAAAGCUCGUAGUUGGAUUUCUGGCGGAGUGUCCUCCGGCUGACAGUUCGUUUGGUCCGGAGCGCUCCACCAUCCUUCUGUUAACCGUCACGGGAUUUACUUCCCGAGUCGGGGCUCAGAUAUUUUACCUUGAGAAAAUUAGAGUGUUUCAGGCAGGCUAGCGCCGGAAUACAUUAGCAUGGAAUAAUGGAAAAGGACUUCAACCUCUUCUGUUGGUCUGAGAGGCUGUAGUAAUGAUUAAUAGGGAUAGUUGGGGGCAUUAGUACUUGACUGUCAGAGGUGAAAUUCUCCGACUUGUUAAAGACUAACUUAUGCGAAAGCAUUUGCCAAGGAUGUUUUCAUUGAUCAAGAACGAAAGUUAGGGGAUCGAAGACGAUCAGAUACCGUCCUAGUCUUAACCAUAAACCAUGCCGACUAGAGAUUGGAGGUCGUUAUCUAUACGACUCCUUCAGCACCUUAUGAGAAAUCAAAGUC